Long non-coding RNA from Diceros bicornis minor, 1773 nucleotides. RefSeq lists it as uncharacterized. Lineage: Eukaryota; Metazoa; Chordata; Mammalia; Perissodactyla; Rhinocerotidae. The transcript is spliced from 3 exons. The record is from RefSeq and is a predicted model, not a curated record.
UGUAGCCUUGGUCUGCGCCACCGUCUCUGCUCGGGGCACCUCGGGCCACCAUGGCCACCCCACAGCCACCAGCGCCCACCUUAUGGCCUCCACCACCCUCUCACCCCCACCCUGCAGCCACCCUGCUCUCCACUGAUUUGGGCUAGUGCCAACAAUGUCAAGUAACAGGGUAGUCUGGAAACGCUCUUCCUUAGGUCACUAUCUUCUUGGAUUUGCUGUGACUUUUCUGCUCUUUUGAUGGCAGGGAGCCUGCCUUGAUCUCUGCAAUCAGGAAUGUGGCUGAGCAAAUGCAGCUUGUACCUGCUGGAUGGAUACACCUUCCAGAUGCUCUGUUGCUAGAAGGUUCCUGGCAGUGCAGGGAAAGGUGGCUCUGCACAUGGAGCCUCCACAUAAUGGGCUCAAAACAUCUGGUCCAGUGGUUAAAAGCUGUUCACAGGGGUGACUGGACCCCACUAAGCAUUCUUUCGUCUGUAGUGAAUAUUUCACCAAAAACAGCUCUAGGAAAGGCUGGAGGAUCAGUACUAUGUGCUCAAGCCACGGCCACACCCUCCAUCUUCCACCUGACCGAGAAGGGGGGGCUGAAGGCCAUGGCCGCCCCAGGAGAAAGGACACUAGGAAGGCCACCGGGGGCCUGAGGAACAUGCGUGUGAAGCAGAUGGGAAAGGAGCUGCAGGUUCAUUGUGGUCCUUGAGGGAAAAGCUGAGGGCCCAGCCGUGGUCCCGCAAGUGGAAGUAACCUGCUCUGCAGGGUGAACACGCACCCAGUGCCGCCCAGGAAGCUGCCAGUCAGUAUUGGGCACAGAGUCUCUGGAAGGAACUCCAGGAGACAGUGUGGCCUCCACAGCAUUAGGCAGCCAAGGAGAUGCAAACAAGUCUGCUGUAGAUGCUGGCGAUGAGACCCCCUCUUCCCAGCCAGGGCCUGCUGGGUAAGAGUGGCAUUUCCGUGGGUGACUUUAUCCCUCAGGAUCGGGGCAUGCAGAUUUAUUGGCUGGCUUCCUUCUUACAGUUUCUUCUCAGAGCACACUCAAGAGAGGCCAUCUGUCCCUUGAGAGGCUGUUGACCAAAAGAGGCUGAAGAGAGAUGUGGAGCCCAGCUGCAGCGGGACCAGCCUGGGGCCUGAUGAGAGCUUGGACCAGAACCCCCACGUUCAUCAUUCACAAUGAUGCCUCAGAAACCCUCCCAGAGCCCCUCCACCCUCCGACGGAUGUCACCCUGAAGCCAGCUGCAGAAGCUGUGUGGGGCGAGCACAGCGACACCAGCCCUACGUCCCUCAGCUGCGUCAUCCUGUCAGCACUGGGGGCCCAAGAUCUCCUCGACUGCUGCACUCCUACUGCUUCUGCUCCCAGGGGAACAGGAGCACGGGCGCCGCCUGCGGGAGCAGGUGGAGAAGAACGGCGAGCUGAAGAGGGUCAGCCGCCGACAGCCAGGUGCACACGCUGCAGGAGGAGCUGGACGAGCUAAAGGAAGGGGGCUCCCUGCCUUAGCAGCCUGCUGCCCCCAGCCGAGCGCCAGCUGCAGAGCUCCAGCCAGCGGCAGAAGCAGAGCAGUGGGCAGUGGUGGAGGUAGAGCUGGCUCCAGCUCCGUUGACACCACCCUCUCUAGCACUGGAGCCAGUGUCCCCUCCACCAGCAGUGUUGGAGCUGUAGCAAGGGCCGACAUCGGCUGUAGCAGGAGUGGGAGCUGCUGAUCUGGAGUCACCUGGACCAUCAUUUCUAGUGGGAAGUCCAUCUCCACCUGUGGCUAAGAAGCGUGAAAGAAGCCUAAUCUCACGGCC